Molecule: ribosomal RNA, 391 nt
Filed under: uncultured bacterium
Lineage: Bacteria
Description: bacterial SSU rRNA
Rfam family: Bacterial small subunit ribosomal RNA
Source: RNAcentral
AGCGAACGUUUGCGGCGGGCUUAACACAUGCAAGUCGAACGAGCUGUUCCUUCGGGGGCAGUCAGUGGCGCACGGGUGCGUAACACGUAGGUAAUCAACCCUCUGGUUGGGGAUAACACUUCGAAAGGAGUGCUAAUACCCGGUAUGGCGCAGCGGUCUUCGGAUCGCGGCGAGAAAGACCCGCAAGGGUUGCCAGAGGACGAGCCUGCGGCCCAUCAGCUAGUUGGCGAGGUAACGGCUCACCAAGGCGAAGACGGGUAGCUGGUCUGAGAGGAUGAUCAGCCACACUGGAACUGAGACACGGUCCAGACUCCUACGGGAGGCAGCAGUGGGGAAUAUUGCGCAAUGGGCGAAAGCCUGACGCAGCCACGCCGCGUGAGCGAUGAAGGCC